UACGUAGGAUCCAAGCGUUGUCCGGAUUUACUGGGUGUAAAGGGUGCGCAGGCGGAAUGGUAAGUCAGAGGUGAAAUCUCAUCGCUCAACGGUGAAACUGCCUUUGAUACUAUCAUUCUUGAGUCCGAUAGAGAUCUGUGGAAUUCCGAGUGUAGCAGUGAAAUGUGUAGAUAUUCGGAAGAACACCAGUGGCGAAGGCAGCAGAUUGGGUCGGUACUGACGCUCAGGCACGAAAGCAUGGGGAUCAAACAGG
RNAcentral lists this ribosomal RNA (253 nucleotides) under uncultured bacterium. RNAcentral describes it as "partial 16S ribosomal RNA". It matches the Rfam family "Bacterial small subunit ribosomal RNA", at positions 524 to 776 of the family's 1533-position model. The record is from RNAcentral. RNAcentral also lists the same sequence under 1 other name.